This 460-nucleotide ribosomal RNA is filed under the name uncultured bacterium. Its description in RNAcentral is "partial 16S ribosomal RNA". It matches the Rfam family "Bacterial small subunit ribosomal RNA", at positions 338 to 795 of the family's 1533-position model. The record is from RNAcentral.
CCUACGGGAGGCAGCAGUGAGGAAUAUUGGUCAAUGGGCGAGAGCCUGAACCAGCCAAGUCGCGUGAAGGAUGACGGCCCUACGGGUUGUAAACUUCUUUUGUCAGGGAACAAUUGGGUCCACGCGUGGGCUUAGCGAGAGUACCUGAAGAAAAAGCCUCGGCUAACUCCGUGCCAGCAGCCGCGGUAGUACGGAGGAUGCGAGGGUUAUCCGGAUUAAUUGGGUUAAAAGGGUGCGUAGGCGGAAUAUCAAGUCAGCGGUAAAAAUUCGGGGCUCAACCCCGUCGUGCCGUUGAAACUGAUGUUCUUGAGUGGGCGAGAAGUAUGCGGAAUUCGUGGUGUAGCGGUGAAAUGCUUAGAUAUCACGAAGAACUCCGAUUGCGAAGGCAGUUCACUGGACUGCAACUGACACUGAGGCUCGAAAGUGUGGGUAUCAAACAGGAUUAGAUACCCUAGUAGUC